UCUUCUGUCGGCUGUGAGUAUUUUCUUCAGCUUCCUCCAUUUUCCAUCUAAGAAUUGCAGUGCUCCAUUCAUCUAGCACGUCAUCCAUAUCAUAACAUGCAUCUUUGAGCUUGUCUACCCAAUCUCUUACAGCCUUAUCCUUCACUUGUUUUCUAUCUGCAUCUUCAAGGACAGAUUGGAUAUCAAGGAGAUUGCUUUUCAGCUUGUCACAUUGUUUCUUCACACCCACUACUAGGUUCACCUUUUCUUGUACCUAUUAGUGUACAAAGGAAAAGAAACGUUAAGCAUAGGAAACAUUUCUAUGACAAUUUCACACCCCCUACUAGGUUCACCUCUUCCUGUACCUAGCUAUUAGUGUAGAAAAGACAAGUUCAAGCAUAGGAAACAUUUCUAUUUUGUAUUAAUAUAUUUUAUUGUGAAAUGGAUUUACUAUAUUAAUAAUUUAUAUAUAAAAUAUUUAUUAUAAAUGAUAAUAUUUCUUUUUUCUUUUUAUCAUCAUGAUGAUGAUAUCAGUCUGCACUAUGCUACUGUACAAGAAGGUAUAAAAUGAAUCUUAAAUGGUAAAAUGUAAACCUGUACGUAUGUAUAUAUAUAUAUAUAUAAAGAGUUCAAUGUUCUCACGUGAGAAGGAUUUCUCCUUUGAACCGACAUAAAAUCUGGUUUUCAUUUUACAUUAAACUAUAGAUAUAUGGAUGUAUAAAGGCAAGUGAAUAAAAGGAUCUGCAUUUAUAUAUUUGUGAAGUCAAUUUAGAAAUAAAGGCAUGAUAAUAAGAUUGUGUGAUAACUAUAUAGUUUUAAUUCACACCAAAUACUCACUCGCUAAUCCUUCGAACUUUUUAUUGAUUAUUUUACCUUUAAUAGUUCAGUUUAAAGAGAAUUGGCAACUCUUGUUCAUCUUUUUUGGUUUUCUUAUAUUUGGAAUGAUAUAUUUUCUUUAGGUUAUUUUUAGAAAUAUGAAAACUAAUAAAACUAGAAAAAUAAGUCUUUAAUAAAAUCGAAAUAUAUACUUGAGGAUUUAAAAUAUUAUUUUUAUUUUUUCAAGUUAAAAGUAUUCUUUUUAUGAGAGGAAGAAAAAAGGCUUGAACGUUAUAUAUAUUUCUUAUCUGUGCUUAGGUAAAUCAGGUUAUUGCAGAUGGCAGAAAAAUACCUGUUGAGCAACGAUCGUGGUUAACUGCUCCAAGAUCGGAGAUAGAAGUGCCUCAGCCAUCGUCUGUUUAGUUCUGAUUGGAGAGAGAGAGAGAGAGAGAGAGAGAGAAGCAGUGAUGAUAGGAAGACAGAGAGAAAGAGAGGGUGAAGGGAAGGAGGCGGCUGAUUGUGAAUGGAUUAAUAUACUUGGGGUUUCUCGUUGCAGGUGGAGUUCUUGCAACUUGUAGUUUUUUUUACUAGUGAAGCUUUGUAUUUAGUGUCUCCACAGAAAAAUAUUUUUUAUUUAGUGGCUGAAAGAUUCACAAUUUAUAUUAUAAUUGAUGAUUUUUAUUCUAUGAAAGAACAACAAAUAUAAUUAAAAUAAUAUAUAAAAAUUAUUUUUUAUUAUUUUUUAUUUUAUUUCAAAGUUUAUUAAACAUAAAAUAAUGUUUCGCUUUAAUUAAUGUUUCUUAUAUACUUUGUAUGUUUAUAUUUGAUAGGUAUAGAGAUCAACAACAUUAAAAUGAUGAAUACAUCAUGAAGUUAAAAUUAGCUUCAUUGUUUUGACUUAAUUUGAUAUUGCUCCAAACCUUUUAUAUUAUAUAUUUAUAAUAAGUUAUUUGAAUAAAACUAAAUCAUACUGGUUUUUUUUACAACUCAUAUAUAAUAAAUUAAAAUAAAUAUUAUAUUUUGUUUUAUUAUUUUUGGCCAUUCCAAAAAUAUCAAGGGAAAGUCUUCAAAUGCACAGAGUAAAUCGGAACCCACAGUGAAGUAGCUCUUCAGUAUCUUCUAAGCUCAAGCUGUCAAACACAGACCAAAAGCAAACGUGUCAUAACCAAAACAACCCAAUGAAUGGUAGAUGUUAAAAUGAGCAUUCCAUUUUCUGAAUGACAAAAAUCCCAGUGCCUAGCAAUGACUUACAUAAUUAAUUAAAAUGGAUUUGUUAAAAUAUAGUAAAAUAUUAGACCGUUUAAGAAUUAACACUGUUGGGUUUCGAUAACUUUAUUUGGAUUUAAUCCAUUAAAUCAAUGGGUAUCAUCUUUUAUAGAUGAAUGGUUUAGCUUCCAAGUCUACCAUUCUCUCAUUUAUUUGGACUUAAUCCACUGAAACUGAGGUUUUAUUUGUAAGUAUACACAUCAGGCUCAAGCUUAUCUUCUUGCAUCUGCUCAAAUAUUUCUUCUGCCUUCUCACAGAGUCCCUCUCUAGCAAACGCGUUCACCAGAGCUGUGUAUGUGCAGAUAUCUGGUCUGCAUUUUUGACUUCUCAUUUCGUUAAACAACUUCAAGGCCAUGUAAGAUUGACUUGCCUGAGUACAGGAAAAAGAUUAGCAAAAUGAGUUUUUAAGGAUCCUAAACACCACUGUUGUCCAGUUAUCAGAAUUUAUAACCAUAUCCUUGAAUUUAUUCUGAUAAUUGUUUGAAAUUGAAUGCAUAUAUUUCAAGUUGUUCGUUGUAUCACUGUAGACUCGUAGACGUACGAGUUACGCGUAAUUUUCUACUGGGACCAGUGGCAUUUCAAGAAGAUCAGAUUUGCAGAAUAAUUCAGAACCAAAUACCACUGAGCUUACCUUCCCAUGAAGGUUGAUCAACAGUGUAUAGGUGUCAGUAGAGGGCUGGCAGCCAUCAUUUUUCAUUCGCUGAAAGAUCUCAAUUGCUCUUUGAGGGUUUCCAGCCUUCGUUAACCCAUCAAUAUAAGCAUUGUAUACAAUUGCACCUGGCCAAAAUUAGAGUAUACGCUCACUUUUCACUCUUGAAUGUGCAUGCAAGUGUAUCAACAGAACAGCUUGAAAAACGAAAAUCUGAGAAGUGUAAAUAAGAGAACGAAACACAAAAGCAGAACUAAUGCCCUGUAUUUCACCACCACAAAAAGAAGAGAAAUAACCCACGCAAUCUCAUAAAGGAAAGCUACAGAAGCAAGUUUGUCAUCCAGGAGCCUCUAGCCUAAUCCAGUUCCGGUCUAGCUAAAUUAGCAAGGGGUCCCUCUUGGUUUAAUCAACCAUUCUCUAAGCAUGGUGAUGUAGAUAAGGAGUAGUAAUCACUACUAUUAUAGUAGCAACAAGAAAUAUGCAGACCAUGAACCAAUCUUCUCUUUUCCUACGUUUAGUAUACUUCACCCCCGAAAAGAAAAAAUAAAUACAGCUCUGUGCAAUUAUUGAGCGAGGUUUCAAAAUUUAAAACGAAUUUAACCCCACAAAAAAUCAAUUUUUGAGGAAAAGAAUCUUAAAAGUUGAAGAAAUUUUUGUUUUAUAAGAAAUGGUUGAUCCAAUAACUUCUUGAAAAUACAAUUUCCCUAAAAGCUAAGAAGAAAUGAAUUGGUAAACACAUACUUGGAGGAAGGCUAUACUUUCGCAUAUCAACAAAGGCAGCUUCAGCUUUUUCUAACAAUCCACAUGCACAGUAAGCCUUUAUAAGAAGGGCAUAAGUGUCUUCAGUAGGGAUACACCUGGCUUGAAGAAGAUCAACAUAUGUUUCUUCUGCCUUCUUGUACAAAGAUUUUUGCCCAUAAGCAUCUAUUAGUAAAUUGUAGCACAUGACAUCUGUCUGGAAGGAGCUCUUGUACAAUAUCCAUUGACAUAUCUGGAAAUUUUAGAGUUACACCCAACAAGAUUAUUAAGAAUUAAGAACAAACGAUAUCAAAAAUGUCUAUAUAAUAAAUAGAGACAGUAAAGAGAUUUGUUUCAUUUAGUUGUAGGAAAAUGCUGGUAUAUGAGAAUUCCAAACACCAACUGCAGCACCAACCACUUAAAGGAGAUUUGAACAAUCGAGGAUUCAGUCUUAAUGGUUGAAGAGAAAAAUACUGUGCAAAAUACUGUGCCACAAAAAUAUGUGCGUGCAAGGUGGUUUAAUCCAUCGCCUACCACCUUACACUAUGAAAGAAAUAAGGCACGAUUUACUCACCAAUGCAAUCGGAUCCCAUUGUUUAUUCAAACGAAGUUGGACGGCUACAUUAAUAAGAUCAUCCCAAGUCUCGUGAGUGACAGGAAGAGUAUCAAGAGCAGCCCAAACAUUAUUCGGAUCCACUUCUUUCCGCACAAAGUUCAGAAUCUGAUGAGCAACAGGACUUAGCACGGGAAAAUUCCAUCAACAAAUCCAGAUCCAUAUUUCCAUCCUUGUCCCCUCAAAGAGCCACCUAGGUAAAUUAGACGACUUAAUAAUUAAAGCCAUAUUUGCUUGAGAGUUAUAUGUAUGAGCACAAAGUGAAUUACUCCGUAUUACAUCGUUUCCUGGACAUCUUUUUGUGAUCAAAGAUUCGCCAUUUGCCAUGUUUGUCGAUAUAGACCCUGUCGCUUUUCCACUUUUUAACAUCUCCACUACUGGAAUUCUUUUCUCUGCGUCUGAAAUGACCAUUCCGGAUUCUUGAUUCUAUAAAAAUAUGAUUCAGAGUGCAUCUAACAAGCAACCUGCAAACACUAAUCAAGUAAACACACAAUUGCCAGCAACAAAAUACACACCUCUUAAUUUAAAGCCAUUACACGGAGGAAGCAACCAAAUAAAAUCCAUAUAAAGGAUGCUUUAGACUUCAAAAUAAUUGGACAAAGAGAGACACUAAAACUACUUUUAAUCACAAUAGCAAACACAUGAAAUGCAAACCAGAAAACCUAGUUAAAAAGAAGAAGAAAAGUAGUCAACUUUCCCUUUCUAAACCAAAUAUCUUCUCCCUUUCUUCCGCAAUAAUUCUUAACUGCUGUGAGUAUAGGUUGUAUUUUCAUUACAGAAUCAAAUAUUAGUCUAAUCUAUCUGAUUAAACUACAAAAAUCAAAAUUUGCAAGAUAAACAAGGCCACAACUGUUGAAGACUGGUUAGAGUUCAACAACGAUAAGCAUAGCACUCUGACAGCUAAAACUGGUCCAUCAUCUUAAAACUUAUGAAGUCACAGUAAGACUUUUUAGAUAAUGAUGAUUGCUCGUUCAAUACAUAUGAGAGCCAACAAAAUGCUAAAAUGUUUAAUUAACAAGAACAUAAAACAAAUUAGACAUCCUCUCUCAAGUGAACGUUGAUACUUAGCAAUUCCAUUGAAACCCAUUUCUCAGAACCAGAAAUUCCAUGAAAAAGCAAUAUUAUCCAGCAAGAGGAGAAAGAACCACCAGAAUUGAAGUUAAUAAAUACAGAAAAUAACAAGGCAGCAUGAACAGCAUUAGCAGUGGCAUUGCAUUACGAAAGAGAGGAAGGAAGGACACGACUUACAUGAAAGUAUAAAAGAGGAGUUUGGAGUUGGGUAUCUGUAAACAUCCAGCAAGCAAGAAGAUAUGUGAACUGAAGAGUGUUUUCUUGGAUAAUGGACUCCGUGGGUGAAGACCAGCACUGCCAGACAAAAGUAGCUUCUGUUUUUUUCUGUUUACUAAGGGACAAAAGCCUCAAAAUAUCUCUAACGAACUUAAGGAGUCAAACAAUAGCAUUAUUGUAGCCUCGUGGUGUCUGAGGUUGCAUGGGAUUCUAUAUUGAGACAGUAGCUGAUUAUACAAUGGUUGAUUUAAAAUAACCAACACUACCUUUUUAUACAAAGUGGGAUUGAUGAGGAUAUAAAUCUACACACUCCAACAUUCAAAGUCCCAAUCUUAGAGUCAUUGAUUAGUAUAGUAACGCCUCAUUGGCAAGAACCCAAAUCACUAAGCUCAAAUUACUAAUAAAAAUUACAAAUUUACACCGAAUUUGAACAGAUUUCUACCAACCGAUGUCACUAAAGAAAACACAAAAAAAAAAAAAAAACGCAAAAAAACAAAAGGGCUUCUUGAAUUUAAACCAAAGAAUAUAACAAAACCAAUAAAAAAAAUAAUAAAUGUUUACUUACAGAAGAUUCAUCGACUAAAAUAGAUGGCAAUUUCUUCUCAGUUGCAACAACAACACCGCUUGCCGCUACAACACUAAAAAAAUAAUAAAAUCAACAACAUAGUAUCUAAGCACCCAUCAACAACAUAGUGCAUUCGAAAAUGACAAGAAAAUGAGAAAAGAGAGAGAGGGAGCUUAAAUUGCACCAACCUUUGAUUCCGAGAGAAGUUUGGCCUGAUCCAACGGCAGUCAAUGCGUGCUCAAUCUGUACUAGCUUUCCGGUAGGACUGAAAGUAGUGAGAGAAAAGGAGUACUGGCUAUCACCCAUGGUUUAUUGCUUGAAGACGCAGAGAGGAAAAACUGUGAAUGCGAGUGUGUGGGAGGGAAAGACAGGGAUAUUUACUUGGGGUUUUAACUUUGCUUUUCUCGUUGGAGAAGAAGGUGUUUUCUUACGAGGGCUUUUACAAUGGAGUAUUAUGGGAUUUUAUGACGGCAGGUUGAUCCUCUGUACAUUGAGCUCAAUGAAGGCUCGGGACCAGUUUUGUUUUCAAGUAUUAUUAACAAAUAUUUAUUUAUUUAUUAAUAUACAUAAUUUUUAAUUUAUUUAAUAACAUUUAUAUAUAAUUUUUAAUUUAUUAUAUUUUUGAACUAGAAAAAUAUAUUUAAAGAACUGCAUAUAUAAAUUUUUAUAAAAAAUAAAAUAUUUGACUCACAAUAAAUUAUCCAUAUUUUUAUUAAAAAAAUAAAGUUGGGUAAACUCUUAAUUAGGCCUUGCUACUGAAUUUUGUUGUUGAUUUGUAAUUUAAUUAUUGUUGAAGAUUUUUUGUGUUAGGUUUGGAUAACUUUAUUUGGAUUUAAUCUCCAAAAUCGAAGAGUAUCAUCACUUAUAGAUGAAUGGUUUAGCUUCUCUCAUUUAUUUGGAUUUUAAUCCACUGAAACUGAGGUUUAAGAGUUUCUUGGAUUUAAUCCACUGAAACAGUUGCUUGAUCAAGAUCAUUGGCUUGUUUGAAGGCAGAUAAAGGCAUACAAAAAAAAAGCGAGAGAGAGCGAGAAAGAGAGGAUGUGAGAAAUAAUUAUAGAUAUGAGUUACAGUAGUUGAAACAAAUGAAUUACAGAUCAUUUUAUGGUGAGAGAGAAAGAGAGAGAGAGAGAGAGAAUGUGAGAAAUAAUUAUAUCAUCUUAGAUUACAGAUCAUUUUGAGAAAAUCUAAAAGAAAGUAUCAUCUUAGAUUAAUUAUAGAUAUGAGUUACAGUAGUUGAAAUUUCAAAGGCAAUUUUUUAGAGUAAAGAGGAAAUAAUAUGUUGAGAUGAUGCGAGAGCCCAAUUACAGUAAAGAGGUCAUAUAUUAUUUACACUCAACCUUAGCAAACACCAAAGCAAAACAAAUUAAAUUAAUACACUCAAAGCAGGUUCUAAAGAGUUGUGCCAAUCUUCACCCAUCUCCUCCUUCCCGUAACGUUUCCUUAGAUUGGGGCAACUCUUUAUGUGUAACUCCUGUAGAGGCGCUGCCAAAACAUAGUCCGGUAGUUCUCUCAACAACGGGCAAUUACUAAUCAUCAACUGUCGAAGAUGUGGCAUAAUGGAUAUUAUUGAAGUUGUGAUGGCAUCUUCUUCUCCCACUGAUCUCCUUUCAAUUCCAUCCCACUCUUCUACUUCUGUGAGACUCACAAUUUGUUGUCUCCGUGGACGUACCCGGUUUUUGGGAACCACGUAAAUCUGUUGUUUGUGUUUUAUUUGUGUUUGCUUUUGGUUCAGUAUGCAUAACAAAUUGGUAUCAGAGCGUUUGGGAAGCUAGAACACUGAAAAAAACACGUUUUUCAGCUCUCGGAUCGAAGUUGCAGAAUUUUCAAAGUUCUCAGAUCUUGAUUUUGACCACCUACAGAGAUUCCUCUCGUCGAUACGAGUCCGGCAAUAUAAAGAUCAUCGAAAUCGGAGUUAAAACGAUCCCUGUAGAGCUCGCCGAAGUUUCGCCGGAAAACUGCCGGAAAAACCAGACUGCCGGAAUUCUUGCCUGAGAAGACUGCCACGUCAUCCGCCACGUCACCAAACAGUGACAGAAUAUGCUCUUGACAGAAUGAGAAUAUUCCGUUAACAGAGACAGAAUAUUCCUUUGGCAGUGACAGAAUAUUCUCUUGACAGUGACAGAAUAUUCCCUUGGAUUUGACAGAAUAUUCUUUAUCAGAGACAGAAUAUUCCUUUCCUGAGUCAACUCGGUCAGAUUUGUUUUUUGGCCAACUCAGUGAUUUUAUAUCCCGUUUUUUGGCCAAGUUAAGCUUGUUCCUAGCAUUUUCAACCGUUCCGGACGCAACCGUGGUGUCCGUUUUGUGAAACAGCACACAGAAGUUACUGUUUUGGCUCUUUUGAGCAUAAAAUUGUGUGUUUUAACAAUUUCGGGAGUCCAUUUGUAAUCUAAAGGCGUCCUAAUGGCUGAUAUUCCAGAAGAAAAAUCAGCGGGGAAUGCUAGUAUACCUCCACAAUACAUCCCGGUAUCGAAUACCAAAUUUGAGGUGGAGAAGUUUGACGGGAAAGGUAAUUUUGGCAUGUGGAAAUGUGAAGUUAUGGAUAUGCUUGUCCAAAUGAAUUUGGAUUUCACUCUAGAAGAUAAACCAAGAGGAUUUGGAUGAGAAAAGCUGGGGGAGGAUAAAUCGGUUAGCUUGCAGUUCCAUCCGACUUUGUCUUGUAAAAGAUCAAAAGUACGCCUUUUCAGAACAAAACUCUGCAAAGGAAUUAUGGCAAGCACUGGAGGACAAGUUUAUGAAGAAGAGUAUAGAGAAUCGUCUCUACUUGAAGAAAAGAAUCUUCCGUUUUCAGCACAAGAAAGGUACUUCCAUGAAUGAGCAUCUGAAUGAUUUCAAUAAAAUGAUAGCUGAUUUGAAGAAUUUAGAUGUGGAAAUAGAUGAUGAAGAUAAAGCUCUGUUAUUAUUGAAUUCACUGCCUGACACAUAUGAACAUCUCGUCACCACUUUACUGUAUGGUAAAGAAAAGAUUAAAUUCAUUGAUGUGUCCAAUGCUUUGGUGAAUAAUGAGUACCGGAAGAAGGACCAGAUUGUUCACAAGGAGUCAACGUCAGAAGCAUUGACAGUUAGAGGCAGAACAAACCCUAGAAGAUUUCGAGGGCGAGGGAGAUCUCGCUCAAAAUCUAGAGGAGAAUCAUCAAACAGGCGAUAUCUUGCAAAAGAUGAGUGUGCCUUUUGUCACAAAAAGGGGCACUGGAAGAAAGAUUGUCCAAUCAAGGGCAAUAAGGAAAAAGAUGAACCAACUGUGAACGUUGCACGAGAAGAAGAUGAACGAGACUCUGCAUUCAUGGUCUCAUCACCAGAAAAACAUUGUGGUGAAUGGAUUCUUGAUUCUGCAUGUUCUUAUCACAUGUCCCCUAACAAGCACUUAUUCUCGAGACUUGAGGAGUUCGAUGGAGGAGUUGUGUUUAUGGGCAAUAAUAAUGUUUCUGAGGUCAAAGGGAUUGGGACUAUCCAUCUGAAGAUGCAUAAUGGGGUAGUCAAGACACUAACAGAGGUACGGUAUGUACCUGACUUGAAGAAAAAUCUCUUCUCACUUGGAGUCCUAGAAUCCAGUGGUUAUAAGAUUAUCAUGCAUGGUGGAGUCCUCAGAGCAAUCCGUGGUGCAUUAGUUGUCUUAAGAGGCACGAGGAUAGGAAACUUAUAUUUCCUAGAUGGAUCUACUGUUACUGGUAUAGCAGCUGUUUCCAAAAGCCUAGAAGAUGCUGAAGCAGAUAAUUCCAGACUUUGGCACAUGCGCUUAGGGCAUGCUGGUGAAAAGGCUUUGCAAGGACUAGUCAAGCAAGGUCUAUUAAAAGGCGCCAAGACUGGGAAGCAUGGGUUCUGUGAGCAUUGUGUUCUUGGAAAACAGACAAGGGUCAAGUUUGGCACUGCAAUACACAACACAAAAGGGAUUCUAGAUUAUGUUCACACAGAUGUAUGGGGACCUUCAAAGAAUGAAUCUCUUGGAGGUAAUCGUUGGUUUGUUACUUUUAUUGAUGAUUUCUCAAGACGAGUAUGGGUGUACAUGAUGAAACACAAGGAUGAGGUCCUUGAUAUCUUUCUGAAAUGGAAGAAAAUGGUGGAGACUCAAACGGGAAGGAGAGUUAAGACUCUUCGGUCAGAUAAUGGUGGUGAGUACACUUCAGAUCCUUUCUUUGAAGUUUGCCAGGAUGAAGGGAUCAAGCGACAUUUUACUGUGCGCAAAACACCACAACAAAAUGGAGUAGCAGAACGCAUGAACCGCACAUUGGUGGAGAAAGUCCGAUGUAUGCUAUCACAUUCGGGACUAAGCAAAGUGUUCUGGGGCGAGGCAUUAAGCUAUGCCGUCAUAUUGUUAAUCGGUUACCUUCAGCAGCAUUAAAUGGAAGAACCCCCUUGGAGGUAUGGUCAGGCUCUCCUGCAAAUGAUUAUGACUCUAUGCGUAUAUUUGGUUGCUCAGCAUAUUAUCAUGUUACUGAGUUAAACUAGAUCCUAGAGCCAAGAAAGCUAUAUUUUUGGGCUUUAGUGGAGGAGUAAAAGGUUACAGACUCUGGUGUUCUGAAUCAAAGAAAGUGAUUUUGAGUAGAGAUGUCACUUUUGAUGAGUCUGGCAUGUUACAGCAGGAGAAAUCACAGGAGAAGGAAAAACAGUCUGGUGAUGCACAACAGGUGGAGUUGGAGACUUCAGUCAUCCCUAUAAAGACUGUUCAGACAAUCCCUACUGAAGGAGAUUCAGAUGAAAGUUCAGAUGAAGAGGAUGCAACAACUCCAGCAACCACACAACAAGAAUCCAUUGCAACGAGUAAACCGAAAAGAGUUAUCAAGAAACCUGCUCGGUAUUGUGACAUGGUGGCUUAUGCACUUCCAGUGAUUGAUGAUGGAAUCCCCUACACCUACAAAGAAGCAGUACAGAGUGUAGAAAGUGCAAAAUGGAAAGAGGCAAUGGAUGAAGAGAUGAAAUCUCUCCACAAGAAUCAGACUUGGGAUUUGGUACAACUCCCUAAGGAAAAGAAGACAAUUGGUUGCAAGUGGGUAUAUGCCAAGAAGGAAGGUAAUCCUGGAAAAGACAACAUCCGAUUCAAAGCAAGAUUGGUAGCAAAAGGCUAUGCUCAGAAGGAGGGGAUAGAUUAUAAUGAGGUAUUCUCUCCAGUUGUUAAGCAUUCAUCAAUUCGUAUUUUGCUAGCCUUAGUUGCACAAUUUGAUUUGGAGUUAGCCCAACUUGAUGUGAAAACUGCCUUCCUACAUGGAGAUUUGGAAGAGGAAAUUUACAUGUCUCAGCCAGAUGGUUUCAAAGUCACUGGGAAAGAGAAUUGGGCUUGUAAACUGAAGAAGUCAUUGUAUGGCUUGAAACAAUCUCCUCGCCAGUGGUAUAAGCGAUUUGAUAAGUUCAUGACAGAACAUGGAUACACACGGAGUCAGUUUGACAACUGUGUAUAUUUUCGCAGACUUCUUGAUGGUUCUUUCAUCUAUUUGCUCUUAUAUGUGGAUGAUAUGUUGAUUGCAUCAAAGAGCAAGGUGGAGAUUGAUAGACUGAAAGCUCAACUGAGAACUGAGUUUGAAAUGAAGGACCUUGGAGAAGCUAAGAAGAUUCUUGGCAUGGAGAUUCAGAGAGACAGAAGAAAAGGCACAGUCUGUUUGACACAGACCCAAUACUUGAAGAAACUUCUACAGAGAUUUGGGGUAGAUGGUAAGACCAAGCCGGUAAGCACACCUUUAGCUCCUCAUUUUAAGCUAAGUGCUUCAAUGUCUCCACGCACAGAGGAAGAGCGCAAACAUAUGGCUCAAAUUCCGUAUGCAAAUGCAGUUGGUGCAUUAAUGUAUGCAAUGGUUUGUACGAGACCAGAUAUUUCACAUGCUGUCAGUAUGGUGAGCAGGUAUAUGCAUGAUCCGGGAAAGGGUCACUGGCAGGCAGUUAAGUGGAUUCUACGGUACAUUCAUGGCACAACUGAUAUUGGUUUGAAGUUUGAGAGGGAUGAUAGACUCGAGCAAAAUUUAGUUGGUUAUGUGGAUUCGGAUUAUGCUGGUGACUUAGACAAGCGUCGUUCCACAACAGGCUAUGUGUUUACACUUGCUAAAGGGCCUGUAAGUUGGAGGUCAACUUUACAAUCAACAGUAGCUUUGUCAACAACUGAGGCAGAGUACAUGGCAGUAACAGAAGCUUUCAAGGAAGCUAUUUGGUUACAUGGGUUGAUUGAAGAUUUGGGAAUUGUUCAAGAGCACGUGGAUGUCCAUUGUGAUAGUCAAAGUGCUAUUUGUCUUGCAAAGAAUCAGGUUCAUCAUUCCCGCACCAAGCACAUCGAUGUUCGAUUUCAUUUUGUUCGAGAAAUUGUGGAUGAAGGGGAUAUUCUGCUACAGAAAAUUGUACUAUAGAUAAUCCAGCUGACAUGCUCACAAAAUGUGUCUCAGGGAUCAAGUUCCAACAUUGUUUGGACUUGGUCAACAUCUCUCGGUGUUGAGCACCUUCAGGGUGCAAUGCCAUAUGGCGCAAUGGAGGCGGCAUUGAUUAAUCACGAGUAUUGGAUGGAAAAAUCUUGCAAAGGUGGAGAUUUGUAGCAAAUUGUCAACAUUUGAAAAUUGUCAACAUUUUUCUCAACAACCCUCUCCUUUACUCAACCACUAUCAACCACCCUCUCCUUCUUUUUGACCAUUAUCACUUCUCAUCAAGGUGCUGCCAAAGCUCUCCUAUAAAGACAGAGACGAGAGAGUGCAGGGUAGAAGAGAGGAAGUGUCAAGUGCAGAGGAAGUGUGGUGAGUGCAAGUGAGUGCAACUGUGAGAGUGAAAAAUACAGAUUUGAGAGAAACACAGAGUGUUAGAGUGAAACACUGGGUUUUGUGGGGAUUGUAUUGGGGUUGAGUUGAGUGUUUGUAUUAUUCCUCCAAUAAUAUACAAUCUGUUGUCUCCGUGGACGUACCCGGUUUUGGGAAACCACGUAAAUCUGUUGUUUGUGUUUUAUUUGUGUUUGCUUUCGGUCCAGUAUACACAACACACGUUUCUACACUAACGGAGUGUAAGCACCUGUAAUCUGGUUAAUGUCAUCAUCCAAUUUGGCCAUUCCAACCCUCCGUAACUCCAUAUGAUUAGAUUUUCCAAGUCUGACGGAGGCUGUAAAGCUUCAAUUAAAAUGCCGUUCUCCUGGUUGUAGUAGAAAUCCAAUUCCAAACGAAGCAGGCGCUUCUUAUUCUUGAGUUGUGCUUCUGCAGCGUCACUCGCAUCUUCUUUACCUCCUCCUAGAUUACUUAUAAUAAGACUCCCUCCAAUGUGAUUUAAGUUUUUUAAUUCUCUUAGAUUAGCUGCUUUACUUUCAUUCUCACCACCAGCACACACAGUAAACACAUCUAAUGUUCGAAGACAUGUUAUCCUCUCUAUUCCCUUUGGUAUGAAGGCCACACCUGAAUCAUAAAUCCGGAGAUGCCUCAAUUUGAUAAGUUUUCCAAUCGCCUUGGGCAAUUCCUUGAGAGACCGACACCAAGUAACGUCUAGGGAUUGCAGAUUGCAUAAAUCACACAUGGUUUCUGGCAGGGACUCCAACUCUCCACACCAUGCCAAAUUGAGGUGUCUCAAAUGUAUCAAUUUCCCUACCUCGUUUGGUAUUUCUUUGAUUGAAGACCUUGUCAAAUUCAAUGACCUGAUGCAUGUCAACUGUUUGAACAAAUCAGGCAGUGCAGCUCCAAGCGAAGGGUCUCUAGUGCCGAUCAAGAGGCUGCGAAGACCUUUUGCUUUGUGAAUGGACUUGGGAAAAGAGCUCUCCUCUGACAGCAUCAUGCUUAAAUGACGAACCCUUUCAAUUGAAGUCUCCAUUGUUGCUUCUCCAAGUUUACUGGCAUCCACUGUUAGACAUUCAUUUUUUGUCAUAUAUUGGGCAAAAUCAUGCACUAUAUCAUGCAUCUUGAAUUUCAUUCCUUCAAACCAAUGCCUCUCAAAAUCUUGGAAGAAAGAGCGCGCUGCCAAGACUUGAAAGCACUCCUCUCCAACAAGCUCCAUAUCUCCACCUGAAGUCUCCUUGAAGUAACCUUGAGCCAUCCACAUCUUCACCAAUUCAGAUUUUCCCAUCUCGUAGCCUUUUGGAAACAUGGCACAAUACAAGAAACAUCGUCUUACCCUUGCACUUAUUUGCAAUUUUAUCGCUGGUUUCUGUCAAUCUUUCGCACUCAUCUUUGCUUCUUUUAUUGAAUGCCACCUGAAUGAAUAUGGACCUGCAUACCUCAUCAGACAAUCUCUCAAGGAUGAUCAUGUGGUCGGUUCCCAUCAUGGUUGCCACAGAAUGUUUACGAGUGGUCACUAGAAUUCUGCUUCCUGGUGCUCCGCCUUUGAGAGAGUGUUUCAGCGGUUCCCAUUGUCCAUAAUUUUCUGUCCAGACAUCAUCUAGGACAAGAAGGAACCUCUUUCCCUUAAUGGAUUCAGAAACCCUUUGCAAAAGGGAUUGCAAUUCAACCAAAUCCGGUGCCCUCCCUUCAAGCUGCUCGAGGAUAGCUUUGCCUAUCCUAACCUCAUCAAAUGGAUCUGAAACACACACCCAUAUCUUCUCAAAAUGAGCCGUAACCUCAGCAUCAUUAAAAGCUAGUUGGGCGAGAGUUGUCUUUCCAAUCCCGCCCAUCCCUACUAUAGAGAUGACCUCUACGUCCCCUGCUUCCUGAAUACUUUCGCCCAGCAACUUGCUUACUACAGCUUCCCUUUCAUCAUCUCGACCAGUCACGAUUGAUUCAUCAACAAGGGAGGUACUUGUUAUUCGUUGGAGUUCAUCAGUGGCUCUGUACGGAUCAAAGCCAUACAUAGCUCUCGCUUUCGCAAUGUCAUCCACUUUUUCACAUACUUCUUUGAUCUUGAGGGCAAUGUCUCGACGUCGAACCACUUGAUUGAGACAAAAGCAAGGAGAUUUCAGGAAGGAACAUCGCAUCUUCUGUAGGCUGCGAGUAUUUUCUUCAGCUUCCUCCAUUUUCCAUGUAAGAAUUGCUGAGCUCCAUUCAUCUAGCACGUCAUCCAUAUCAUAACAUACAUCUUUGAGCUUGUCUACCCAAUCUCUUACAGCCUUAUCCUUCACUUGUUUUCUAUCUGCGUCUUCAAGGAUAGAUUGGAUAACAAUGAGAUUGCUUUUCAGCUUGUCGACUUCGUUUCUUCACACCCCCUACUAGGUUCACCUCUUCAUGUACCUAUUAGGGUAGAAAAGAUCAGAAAGUUCAAGCAGAGGAAACAUUUCUAUGAUUUCAAUACAAGUUUUUUUAUUUUAAUUUUUCGUAAUUAAUAGAUUAAAUAAUUUUUAUUAAUCUUUUUUUUUGCAGUAGUUGACACGUGCUGUGAAAUGGAUUGGCUAUAUUAAUAACUUAUAUAUAAAAUAUUUAUUGAAAACUUAUAUAUUAAAGAUAAUGCUUCUUUUUAUCAUCAUCAUGAUGAUAUCUCUCUGCACUCUGCUACUAUACAAGGAAGAAAAUGAAUCUUAAAUUGUUCCAAUCAAAGAAAUAUAGUGAUUAAAAGGAUCUGUAUUUGUUGGUAUUUGUAAAGUCUAUUUGGAAAUAAAUAUUCUUCCUUUAAAGUGAACUAAUUAUUUUAACAUUUGAUUGAUUAUUUUACCCUUAGCAGUUCAGUUUAAUGAGAGGAUUGACAACUCCUUUUUCCUUCUAAAGAUUAUUUCCAGAAAUAUGAAAAAUAAUAAAACAAUAAAAAUAAAUUUCCUUAAUAAAAUCCAAAUCUAGAUCUGAGUAUUUGAGAUUUUAUUUUAUUUUUAUGGUAGAGGAACAAAAAAAGACUUCAUUUUUAUAUUUCUUAUUCAUGUUAGGUUAAUUGGAUCAUUGCAAAUUGUAGAAAGGCAAUUACCUGUUGAGCAACGAUCCUCGUUAACUGCUCCAGAAUUGGCGAUAAAAGUGCCUCUGCCAUUUGUCUGUUUACUUUUAUUUUAUUUCUUAAAAAAAGAGAGACAAUGAUGAUAGGAUGAACAGAGAGGGAGAGAGAAGAGAGUAUGAGGGGAAGGAGGCUGCUGAUUUAGUUAGUUUAGAGCGGAGAAGCUAAAUGAAUAGCUAAAAAUAAAAAAUUAAUAUUUUAGUUUUUCUUUACUUGUUUUAUACACUCCAAGAAAAAAGUCAAAUAAAAUACUAAAAUACCUUUUUUCUCCCACAAAUGUUAUUCCUAUAUAUCUCUCAAAAGAGCCAAAAUUAAUCAAGUGGGGCCAACAAAAGAAUAAACCAAUUAAAUCUAGCCAUGUGAAAAAAAAAUAACAUCAAAAUCAUUAAAAAAAAUAAAACACUUCUUUAUUCUACUCUAAUAGAAUUGGCUUUUUAAAUGGCUUUUUUUCCAUUAGAAUAUACAUGAUAAAAAAAGUUAUAUUUAUACUAUUCAAAAUGCUAUUUUAUCAAUUUAUCUUUUUAAAAUAGCAUUUUACUUUGGAGAUGUUCUUAUAUGUGCUUAGGGUUUGGUGGUGAGGGUUGACUUUUGUUUCAAUGCCUGCGCUGUUUCUAACAUUUCAAUUCAGUCCCUAUAUUAUUGAACUUUUCAGUCUAGUGUCGGUCAGGGUUUUGUUAACAGGAAAAGGAUUGCAGGGAUGGCUGGUCUGAGUGAUGGAAGCUGGCUGAAGCUGGGGCUGUGUGGAUAUCAGUUAAAUUUUGAUGCAGGCUCUUGAACUAGAAACCAUGUAUUAGUUGUCUCAUAUAGGACACUUUACUAUUACAUUUUGAUGCUGGCUCUUGAACCAUUACCCUCUUCGCUCCAGUUGAGAAGAAUUUUUAAUUUAUAUUCCUGAUGAUCAUCGUUAUGCUAUGUAAUGUAGUGAUUCAAUCGCGCCAUUUCUUAUGUUUAGAAAUCUAUGUUUUGGUAACUUGUCUCUUGUUUUUUUUUUUUUCUUGUUGGGUUGCUCAGGUGCUAUCUACAUUGAUUCUGAUAUCAUAGUUUUGAAUUCAUGGUCUUCACUUAAUAACACGAUUGGUCUGGAGAAUUCUACUGAGAGAUUAUCGCAUUCUACUGAAAUUCCUGAAAUUGAUUAUAGCAUUCUACUGAAAUUCCUGCUUCUCAUCUGUUUCUCCAUUUCUUCUCUUCAUUUAAUGUUUAUCUGGUAUCAGUAGCAUGUGCUGGUCAUGGCAAAAAAGUAUGGAAGGAUUGCUGGUUUGCGUGAAUGGAGCUCCUUUAAAUGGGAGGUUCGUUUGUGAAGGGGAGCAAAUGGGUGUGAAAAGGACAAGAAAUGAGGAAAGAAUUCAUAUUGUCUGGACCACAUCACCUUCCUUUCUUCUUCUUUUUUUUGUUUUCAUUCCUUUUUUAUUGUCUCUUUCUACUUUUUCAUAAUGAAAUUCAGAUCUAAAUUACAGAGGAAAUCAGCAUGCUAGAUUCAGCAGCGUUUGGGGUCAGAAUGCCAUUGUUGGGAAGAAGACAACAAAUUAUGUGUAGCUUAGCAGCCAUUGUUGCUGCUUCAGGAACACCAAACUCCCUUGUCAAAAAACUGGAUCCAUAUGCAUUUUGCAAUUAAGUCAUUAUGCUUUAAACUCAUUCUAUGUGUCUUUCCUUACAAAAAAAAAAAAAAAAAAUGGUUAUUUGCUGUCUUCAAACCCGAGAGUUUCGUUGCGUUCUGUUUCAAUUCAGUCAGUCUUUAUUAGUCAAUGCUUCGUAGAACAGAGGCACCUCAUUGCAGAGUGCGGGUACAAAACUAGUGUUGAGGUGAGGUCAUAUGUCCUACCAAAAUGGAUUUUGAUCAUAAUAAUUAGAAGAAGAAAAAAAAACAACAUUAAUAAUUGAUCAUCGUGGCUACAAAAUGAAGUGGAACUAAUAAUUAAUGGAGUGUAUAUAAUAAUCAUAAUCAUAAUAAUACUAAAUAAAAUGAAUUACUAUGUGUAUUCUAUAAUUUAGUUAUAUAAUAUAGCAGAUCUGUACAAAUUAGUAAUUUCAACUUACCAAUAAAAAAAUUAUAGUAGAUUUUUACCGUGGUAUGAUUGCAAUAAAUAAAAUAAAAUAAAUUUACUUCACAGCAUUAAUAAUUUUUUAGUUUUUGUCAAACAAUAUCAACACACAUGUAUAUUAUGCAUUCACUCAUUUUUUUAAAAAUAAUUAUAAUAAAAUUAAUUAGUUAUUUAUUAUAAAAACUAGACCUAUAAGUUAUGUCUAAGCUGUUAAAAAUAAUAAAAAUAAAAUAAUUUAAAGAUAUAAUAUAUUUUAAAUAAAAUUAUUAGUCAAUCUAUAUCGAGUUGUUUUAUCUACUAAAUUAAAAAAUUUAAGUUUUUAUAUCACUUAGAAUACUUAUGUUGAAUUUAAUCCAUAAAAUCGAUGGGUAUCAUCUCUUACAGAUGAAUCGAUGGGUAUCAAGUUACAUGCCAUCUUGCAACUUCGAAUAACAGACCACUCGACUGGCUCCAAAAUCAAACCAUCUCCACCUCAUUCAACACGAUUUAAAAUAAUCAACACCACCUUUUUAUACAAUGUGGGAUUGAUGAGGAUAUAAAUCUACAAACUCCAUCCAAAGUCUCAAUCUUAUAGUGUUCUUAACUAGUAUAGUAACGCCUCAUUGGCAAGAACCCAAAUCACUAAUAAAAAUUACAACUUUACACCGAAUUUGAACAGAUUUCUACGAGCCGAUGUCACUAAACUCAAAUUACUCCUAAAAAUCUCAAUAUAAACCCAUUAACUACUAGACCAACACCUCAUUGGCUAGAAUCCACGUUGCUUUUCCACAACAAUCAUCAGCUUCUUCAAUUAGGAUGCUACAAGCCCUUGUCUAUAUACUAGCUUAAAUUGCGACAACCUUUGAUUCCGAGAGAAGUUUGGCCUGAUCCAACGGCAGUCAAUGCGUGCUCAAUCUGUACUAGCUUUCCGGUAGGACUGAAAGUAGUGAGAGAAAAGGAGUACUGGCGACCCAUGGUUUAAUGCUUCAACACGCAGAGAGGAAAAACUGAGAAUGCGAGCGUGUGGGAGAGAAAGAAAGGGAUAUUUACUUGGGGUCUUAACUCUGCUUUUCUUGUUGGAGAAGAAGGUGUUUUCUUACGAGGGCUUUUACAAUGGAGUAUUUUGGGCUUUUAUAACGGCAGCUUGGUUCUCUUUACAUUGAGCUCAAUGUUUUUCCCAGAAAUCUGCCCUUCAAAUCUGCAAACACAAACAAUCUUGUAAGGGUACAAGGGAAGCACUCAGAACUUGUAAGAAACUUUAAAAUGCUCAUUUAUAUCUCUCUUUGACCACUUUGCAAAAACUAAGAUUAUGCUCACUAGUCCACCAUCACUCUGAUUAUAGAAGCAAGACUCGACAAUUUAACAACUUAAAAUCACUAAGAGGAAAGAAAAGGAACCUUCAAGCACCUGCAAGUACAUUUGAUUGACACUGGGUUGAGAAACUUUCAUUCAUUUUCACUUAAACAGUAUCUCACAUAAUUUAAUCUCCUGAACUACUAACUAAAGUGUUGAGAGCCAAUUUUGACAUAGGUAAUAAGUUGCACAAGUUAGUAAGAAGUGGCUCAUUGAGCAACCAAAUUGCCAAGAUGUCUUAUUUCAAACCCAAGAACAGAGGAAUGCCUUAUUUUUAUUUUUCUAAGGAACUACAUAUUUGCCCCCCUCUUUUUUUCAGUUGAAACAGAAACAGGGUACAUGUACAACGUGUUAAAGUCAAGUCCAUAACCAGACCAAUUAAGAACAUUGACCUACAAGGAGUUCCACUGAAGUUCAGAUUAUAAGCAGGCAUGCUUCUAUCUCAAUUUACCACCCCGGGUCAAAUUUCACACUUAUCAGGACACUAUAACAACAGCAGAAACUUUACAAUUUCCCACCAAACAUAAAGAGAGCUUUGAAUCUACACACCCGCCUGCUACAAUCAUUCAUGACAGAUAUUUUAGCAAAAUUAAGGCCAGAGAAACACAAGCUAAAAAAAUGGAACUUCCUAAUUACUGAGAAGCAGGCAGAAACAAACCUGUAGACAACUCCAAUAUUGGGUGUCAGAUUCUGUAUUUUCUGAACCUGAAACAGGAAGCAAUUAAAUACCAUCAACAACCAACUCAAGUUACAUCCCAUCUUGCAAAUUAGAAUAAUAGACCAAUCAACUGGCUCCAAAAUCAAACCAUCUCCACCUCAUUCAACACGAUUUAAAAUAACCAACACUACCUUUUUAUACAAAGUGGGAUUGAUGAGGAUAUAAAUCUACACACUCCAACAUUCAAAGUCCCAAUCUUAGAGUCAUUGACUAGUAUAGUAACGCCUCAUUGGCAAGAACCCAAAUCACUAAGCUCAAAUUACUAAUAAAAAUUACAAAUUUACACCGAAUUUGAACAGAUUUCUACCAACCGAUGUCACUAAAGAAAACGCAAAAAAAAAAAACGCAAAAAAACAAAAGGGCUUCUUGAAUUUAAACCAAAGAAUAUAACAAAACCAAUAAAAAAAUAAUAAAUGUUUACUUACAGAAGAUUCAUCGACUAAAAUAGAUGGCAAUUUCUUCUCAGUUGCAACAACAACACCGCUUGCCGCUACAACACCAAAAAAAUAAUAAAAUCAAACAACAUGGUAUCUAAGCACCCAUCAACAACAGUAGUGCAUUCGAAAAUGACAAGAAAAUGAGAAAACAAGAGAGAGAGGAGCUUAAAUUGCAACAACCUUUGAUUCCGAGAGAAGUUUGGCCUGAUCCAACGGCAGUCAAUGCGUGCUCAAAUCUGUACUAGCUUUCCGGUAGGACUGAAAGUAGUGAGAGAAAAGGAGUACUGGCUAUCACCCAUGGUUUAUUGCUUAAGACGCAGAGAGGAAAAACUGAGAAUGCGAGUGUGUGGGAGAGAAAGACAGGGAUAUUUACUUGGGGUUUUAACUUUGCUUUUCUCGUUGGAGAAGAAGGUGUUUUCUUACGAGGGCUUUUACAAUGGAGUAUUAUGGGCUUUUAUGACGGCAGGUUGAUCCUCUGUACAUUGAGCUCAAUGAAGGCUCGGGACCAGUUUUGUUUUCAAGUAUUAUUAACAAAUAUUUAUUUAUUUAUUAAUAUACAUAAUUUUUAAUUUAUUUAAUAACAUUUAUAUAUAUAAUUUUUAAUUUAUUAUAUUUUUUGAACUAGAAAAAAUAAUUUUCCAGAUCGUGAUGUAUAUUUCUCACAUUGUUUAAAGAAGCUAAUUUAACAUUUUUGUUUAGUAAACUAAAUAUUCAACAACUUGGGCGACAAAUAUCUGGUUGCAGCGUGCAGAGAGUAAAAACAAAAUAACUCCCACAAAACCGUUGACCCAUUUUAGACAUGAAGCCAUAGUGUUGUUCGGGGCCCAGCACCGUAAGAGGAAGGCUCCCUCUAAAUUAUAAUUUGGCCCCCUUAAUUUUUUUUCCUUGCUCCGCCCCUGCAUGGAGGGUGGUGAGUUUUGGAUCUAUAAUUAUGCUCUCCAGCGUUUUAUUCAUUGGCUUGGACAGCCUGGCUAACAAUAAUAGCAUAACCACUGCAACAGUGGUUUACAAAUGAUACAUACCUCUUCAGCUUGCUUCCCUCAUUUAUUUGGAUUGAAUCCACUGAAACUGAGGUUUAAGAAUUUCUUGGAUUUAAUCCACUGAAACAGUUGCUUGAUCAAGAUCAUUGGCUUGUUUGAAGGCAGAUAAAGGCUUAAAAAAAAAAAAAAAGCGAAAGCAAGAAAAGGAGGAUGUGAGAAAUAAUUAUAGAUAUGAGUUCCAGUAGUUGAAACAUAUGAAUUACAUAUCAUUUUAUGUUGAGAGAGAAAGAGAGAGAGAGAGAGAGAGGAUGAGAGAGAGGUAUAUCACAGCUGCAUUUGAUAGACUAAAUGGUAAGUAGGAAAUAAAAUCGAAUUACAGUAAAAAGGUCACAUUGAAUGAAAUCCUCCAUGUAAGUAAAAAAGGUCCACAGAGUAAAUGGUAAGAAUUAACACCAAAGCAAAUAACUAACACUCAGAACCAAAUCUUUUACCGUUAAGAAUUAACACUGGUAGAAGAAUUUACCUCUUCCUGCUGGUUCUAAAGACUAAAGAAUUUACCUAUAUAGCAUCAAAAUUAAUCUUUGGGAUGUGAGAAAUCUUUUGCCAAUCUUCACCCAUCUCCUCUUUCCCGUAAUGUUUCCUUAGAUUGGGGCAUCUACAUAUAUUUAAUUCCUGUAGAGGCGCUGCCAAAACAUAGUCUGGUAGUGCUCUCAACAACGGGCACUGGUUAAUUCCCAAAUAUUGAAGUUGUGGCAUAAUGGAUAUUAUUGAAGUUGUGUUGGCAUCUUCUUCUCCCACUCUCCUUCCAAUUCCUUCCCACUCUUCUACUUCUUUGAGGAAAAAAAUGCCAAGUUUUUUUAAUUUGGGGAAAGCAGUGACCCUUGCAAUUUCUCCUUCAUUAAUACUGGCAUUCUCAUCUUUUUCUAUACCUAAAAAUCCAGCAUCCAACCUUCUCACCUUCAACGAGCUCAAUACCAGGAUUUCAAGGUUGGGCAAUCUCCCCAACGGAGGCAAGACCUCCGCGUUUUCGCCAAAAUCAAGUCUAAGCUCCUGUAAUCUGGUUAAUGUCAUCAUCCAAUUUGGCAAAUCCAACCCUCCGUACCUAGAUAUGGUUAGAUUUUCCAAGCCUGACGGAGGCCGUAAAGCUUCAAUUAAAGAGCCUUCAUUCAUUUGCAACUCUGUUUUCUCUCUGUCGAAAUCCAAUUCCAAACGAAGCAGGCUCUUCUUAUUCUUGAGUUGUGCUUCUGCAGCGUCACUCGCAUCUUCUUUACCUCCUCCUAGAUUCCGUAUACGAAGACUCCCUCCAAUGUGAUUCAAGUCUUUUAAUUCUCUUAGAUUAGCUGCUUUACUUUCAUUCUCACCACCACCACACACAGUAAACACAUCUAAUGUUCGAAGACAUGUUAUCCUCUCUAUUCCCUUUGGUAUGAAGGCCACACCUGAACGAUAAAUCCGGAGAUGCCUCAAUUUGAUAAGUUUUCCAAUCGCCUUGGGCAAUUCCUUGAGAGACCGACACCAAGUAACAUCUAGGGAUUGCAGAUUGCAUAAAUCACACGUGGUUUCUGGCAGGGACUCCAACUUUCCACACCAUGCCAAAUUGAGGUGUCUCAAAUGUAUCAAUUUCCCUACCUCGUUUGGUAUUUCUUUGAUAGAAGACUCUGACAAAUUCAAUGACCUGAUGCAUGUCAACUGCUUGAAUAAAUCAGGUAGUGCAGCUCCAAGCGAAGGGUCUCUAGUGUGGAUCAAGAGGCUGCGAAGACCUUUUGCUUUGUGAAUGGACACGGGAAAAGAGGUCUCGUUGGCCAACAUCAUGCUUAAAUGACGAACCCUUUCAAUUGAAGUCUCCACUGUUGCUUCUCCAAGGUAUUGACAUCCACUGUUAGACAUUCAUUUUUUGUCAUAUAUUGGGCAAAAUCAUGCACUAUAUCAUGCAUCUUGAAUCUGAUAAUUUCUAGACCAUACUUCUUACAAUCUUGGAAGAAAGAGCGUGCUACCAAGACUUGAAAGCACUCCUCUCCAACAAGCUCCAUAUCUCCACCUGAAGUCUCCUUGAGGUAACCUUGAGCCAUCCACAUCUUCACCAAUUCAUAUUUUCUCAUCUCGUAGUCUUUUGGAAACAUGGCACAAUACAAGAAACAUCGUCUUACCACAGAAGGUAAAUCGUAGUAACUCAAAAGCAAAGGUGGAAAUAGUCCUCUUUCAACAUGUUCUAGCUCCCACAGUUCGCUAGAUAAAACAUGUUCCCACUCUUCUCUUGUUCUUUUAGACUGCAUUAGACCUCCUAAUACCUUGGCAGCUAGAGGCAAGCCCUUGCAAUUGCUUGCAAUUUUGCCGCCUAUUUCUGUCAAUCUUUCGCGCUCAUCUUUGCUUCUUUUAUGGAAUGCCAACUGAUUGAAUAUUGACAUGCAUACCUCAUCAGACAAUUUCUCAAGGUUGAUCACGUGGUCGGUUCCCAUCAUGGUUGCCACGGAAUGUUUACGAGAGGUCACUAGAAUUCUGCUUCCUGGUGCACCGCCUUUGAGAGAGAGUUUCAGUGGUUCCCAUUGUCCAUGACUUUCUGUCCAGACAUCAUCAAGGACAAGAAGGAACCUCUUUCCCUUAAUGGAUUCAGAAACCCUUUGCAAAAGGGAUUGCAACUCAACCAAAUCCGGUGCACCCGCUUUAAGCUGCUCAAGGAUAGCUUUGGCUAUCCUAACCUCAUCAAAUGGAUCUGAAACACACACCCAUAUCUUUUUCUCAAAAUGAGCCGUAACCUCAGCAUCAUUAAAAGCUAGUUGGGCGAGAGUUGUCUUUCCAAUCCCACCCAACCCUACUAGAGAGAUGACAUCCACGUCCCCUGCUUCCUGACUACUUUCACCCACCAACUUGCUUACAACAGUUUUCUUUUCAAAAUCUCGACCAAUCACGCUUGAUUCAUCAACAAAGGAGGUACUUGUUAGUCGUUGUAGUUCAUCGGUGGCUCUAUACGGAUCAAAGCCAUACGUAGCUCUCUCUUUGGCAAUGUCAUCCACUUUUUCGCAUACUUCUUUGAUCUUAAGGGCAAUGGCGCGACGUCGAACCACUUGAUUGAGACAAGAGCAAGGAGAUUUCAGGAAGGAACAUCGCAUCUUCUGUCGGCUGCGAGUAUUUUCUUCAGCUUCCUCCAUUUUCCGUCUAAGAAUUGCAGUGCUCCAUUCAUCUAGCACGUCAUCCAUAUUAUAACAUACAUCUUUGAGCUUGUCUAGCCAACCCUUUACAGCCUUAUCCUUCACUUGUUUUCUAUCUGCAUCUUCAAGGACAGAUUGGAUAGCAACGAGAUUGCUUUUCAGCUUGUCAACUUGUUUCUUCACACCCACUACUAGGUUCACCUCUUC
RNAcentral lists this long non-coding RNA (24558 nucleotides) under Populus tremula. RNAcentral describes it as "long non-coding RNA (PTRE_LNC003209)". The record is from RNAcentral. Lineage: Eukaryota; Viridiplantae; Streptophyta; Magnoliopsida; Malpighiales; Salicaceae.